RNAcentral lists this unclassified non-coding RNA (75 nucleotides) under Flavobacterium pectinovorum. RNAcentral's name for it is "Flavo-1 RNA". Lineage: Bacteria; Pseudomonadati; Bacteroidota; Flavobacteriia; Flavobacteriales; Flavobacteriaceae. The record is from RNAcentral.
AAUAAGUUAGGGAUAGAGGCGUUAUCCUUUUGUGAAGUGGAACGGAACAAAAGAUAUAGCCGAUCCCGAAGUUUC